CCCCUGUUCCAAAUAAGGUCCCAUUGUGAGGUACUGAGAGUUAGGACUUCAACACAUGAUUUUUGAGGGAGCGCAGUGAGAUCCACAACACAGUCACGCUGUGUGCCUUUCUGCAUGAUUUCUGUGUCCAGGACCUUGGCUUUCUCCUGCUUUCCUCUUCCUUAUAUCACACAGUUCUGGUUCCAAACUAGUAUUUAGUAAACCCACACCCACAGGUCACCUAUGGCAGUGCUCCGUAUUCUGAGCACAGCUGACUUCCCACCUUACAGUUCAGGCCCUGUGCUCUGGGAAGAAAGGAAGUUUGCUGUCUUAGGAACAUCCCAGACGAUAAGGAGCUAAGAGAACAACUUGUCUGAAGGACCCUUUGAUGACCCACUCAUCCUUCCUACACUCACGCUGUCUUUGCUUGUGUCUCCUUACUCACCGACUUUUCCUCUUAGCAAAUUCCUUCAGACAAAGAGUCUCCUACCUCCUUAAGCCCAGCCCGCCCCAAGAGAGGAUCUCGCAGGCAGGCCAUGCAUAGAGAUGAUCAGCAUGGGCACCGCAGAGCAAGGUUAAUGAAGAGAAGUUUUAAUUCUAUGGCCAUCUCCACACCCCCUCUCCAUUUAUAUUUUCAACAUAUGGCUGGCUUUUUAAUGUCGCUUUAAUGUUUUCUCUUGUAUUUAAUUAUUUAAAGAUUUAAUAAGAAACUGCUGAGAAUCAAUUGCACACAAGGGACACAUUUCUUUGAAUUUUUGUUCUUUUUUCUCUGCUUUUGCAUAAGAGUUAAUUUAAGUCAUUGGAAACUAAAAACACAAAGCUAAAAGGGGGAAAGAAGAGAACAACGUAAAGGCAUUCAGAAAAGGAUAUCUGUAGGUGAAAUCAAACCCCCAACGGCAUGUGAUGUGUAUCUCUUAUCAGCACUAGGCAGUGGCGAUAACCAAGGAACCCAAAACAAAUCACUUUCAUUCCAUUCGUGUCUAAUAAUAGAAAGUCAGUAGCUUAUAUGUCAAAAAUUUUCUUUUUAAAAUAAAUUCCUUUUGGGGUUGGUUCUGUGUGUUGGGGGCAAGGAAAUGGAAGGAUAUUCACCACUACAGGGGUCUAGUUUUAUUGACAGAGAAAGGGAAUUUUUAUAUCACUUUCAGAAUUUUAAAUGGUUUGUUGCUGAAUAUUUUAGGAUCUCCUUUCCACAUUUAUAACUAUUAUCUGAAUGAACUAAUCCAGUUAAGAAGGCAUUCAUUCAUUAACAUAUUCUGCUUAUGUGUUCUGAAUGACCAACUUUGCCAGACAAUAUGCCAGGUAUGAAGGAUCCAACCAGAAGAAAUGCCAACUCGACCCCUGCUUUCAUAGCCACUCACACCCACCCUUGGGGAGCAGAGUCACAAAGGACAGUUAUCGUGCGUGUGCUCUGAUGUGGGAAGGACAGGAUACUACAGAAGCCAAGGGAAAGGCACUCAAUCCAGAUUGGAAGGAAAGGGAAAUGCUUCCUGGAAGAAGACAUGGCUAUCACGAGACCUGAAAAAUGAAUAGGAACACAAAUGAUGAAGUGUGACCUCUGUUAUGUUCAUUUUGUCAAACUCUGUCAUAAACCUGAAAAUCAGCAUCAACAUGAUCUUCAUCAUCUUCAAACAGCACAUGGUAACAAGGAGUUGAUAUGGUCUGUGAUUUGCUGCAGGACAGCAUCCACAACAAACUGCGAACCACAGCACGGUGUAACAGAGUAGCCUCAAAUUUCCAUCAAAGGAAUGAGUUGUCUGAGGAAGCAAUGUGUUCCUCAUCCUUUAAGAGACUGAGGCAGCAAGGAGAAUGUUGGGGAAAGGAACUUUGGGCUGAAUUGAAGGACCACACGGAGGCGACAUUUCCAGCCACCUGGCAUUGAGACACAGUCUUGUCCUGGAAUGUGCACAUCACCACUUUCUUUAAAGACCACAAAACCCUCCCAUUUUUGAUUUUUCCCUUUCUCUCCCCAUCCGCUGGCUGAAUGUGGAGAAUUCUGAGGUCCUAAAAGGGGAUGAGGCUGGAAGAUGGCAGGCAUCUGGAUCUCAAAAGAUCACGCACAUGCUAACAAGGAGCACCCACAUUGAACCAUUAGAUAAAUAAGAAAUCCUUUCUCUACCGAGCUGGGAAGUUGUCUCCUGGGUGUUCCACAGCUAUUGUGCUCAGGUCACUCUAAAAGGCUAUCUAUCCUGGAGGAAGGUAGCACUGUAAAAGAGGAGAAAAAGUAAAAUAUAGUAGCCAUGAGAGUAACAAGCAAACACUCCCCCAAUGGACAAUGAAUGUGACAUUUCUCCUGGUCUGUAUGAUCAGCAUGAAUCAAUUGUGCUUUUGAAGACACGGCCCUAAUCCAUACAUGUUAACUUGAGGAUUUACCUUUCCUCACAACGGUAUAGACAACCUAAACCAUCUGGACUUGGAUGUGAAAUUGACGUGAUCAUACAAACAUAUUUCUGAGAAAGAGUUCAUAAGUUUCAUCAGAUUCACAAAGGGAUCUUCCACCCCAUCAUGAUCCUAUUACUCCCACCAGAAUACAGGGCAUACAUCCAUGGGCUUUCUGGUGGUUUGAGUUUAUUUCCCCACUCCUCCAAGGUGCUCUCUUCAAUUGUCUGCAAGGCUCCAUCACCCUAUUUCAGAGCACGCUGAGGAAGAAAGGGUGUCAAACCAAAUGCAGAAGAACUAAUAAGAAACCCAUGAAAUUGCUCACAAAGGCCUCCUUCUGUGGCUCUUCGUGCAAAU
Equus caballus (horse) is the source of this 2712-nucleotide long non-coding RNA. The record is from Ensembl. Lineage: Eukaryota; Metazoa; Chordata; Mammalia; Perissodactyla; Equidae.